RNAcentral lists this ribosomal RNA (253 nucleotides) under uncultured bacterium. RNAcentral describes it as "partial 16S ribosomal RNA". It matches the Rfam family "Bacterial small subunit ribosomal RNA", at positions 524 to 776 of the family's 1533-position model. The record is from RNAcentral.
UACGUAGGAGGCAAGCGUUGUCCGGAAUUACUGAGCGUAAAGCGCGUGUAGGUGGUGGGACAAGUCUGCUGUGAAAGCGCCUGGCUUAACCGGGCGAGGUCGGCGGAAACUGUCCGACUCGAGGACGGUAGAGGGGGGUGGAAUUCCCGGUGUAGUGGUGAAAUGCGUAGAGAUCGGGAGGAACACCUGUGGCGAAGGCGGCCCCCUGGGCCGGCCCUGACACUGAGACGCGAAGGCGUGGGGAGCGAACAGG